Molecule: ribosomal RNA, 466 nt
Filed under: uncultured bacterium
Lineage: Bacteria
Description: partial 16S ribosomal RNA
Rfam family: Bacterial small subunit ribosomal RNA
Source: RNAcentral
GAUGAACGCUGGCGGCGUGCUUAACACAUGCAAGUCGAACGAUGAAGCCCAGCUUGCUGGGUGGAUUAGUGGCGAACGGGUGAGUAACACGUGAGUAACCUGCCCUUAACUCUGGGAUAAGCCUGGUAAACUGGGUCUAAUACCGGAUAGGAGCGUCCACCGCAUGGUGGGUGUUGGAAAGAUUUAUCGGUUUUGGAUGGACUCGCGGCCUAUCAGCUUGUUGGUGAGGUAAUGGCUCACCAAGGCGAAGACGGGUAGCCGGCCUGAGAGGGUGACCGGCCACACUGGGACUGAGACACGGCCCAGACUCGUACGGGAGGCAGCAGUGGGGAAUAUUGCACAAUGGGCGCAAGCCUGAUGCAGCGACGCCGCGUGAGGGAUGACGGCCUUCGGGUUGUAAACCUCUUUCAGUAGGGAAGAAGCGAAAGUGACGGUACCUGCAGAAGAAGCACCGGCUAACUACGUG